RNAcentral lists this long non-coding RNA (3010 nucleotides) under Vitis vinifera (wine grape). Its description in RNAcentral is "long non-coding RNA (VVIN_LNC007535)". The record is from RNAcentral. Lineage: Eukaryota; Viridiplantae; Streptophyta; Magnoliopsida; Vitales; Vitaceae.
GUGGGGAGUUUGGCUGGGGCGGCACAUCUGUUAAAAGAUAACGUAGGUAUCCUAAGAUGAGCUCAACGUGGCACCUUGGCUUGGCUCGCGGGCGGGCACAAAGCAGGGCUCUGUCCCCCAGGAACAUGGCUAAAGUGCGAGAGGUUUUAUGCUCUCUGGACAUUAAGGUGUAUUCCAGGAAGAAGAACAGAGGCCCCACAGGUAAUUGAGACCUGGUGGUUUUGGCUUGGAAGGUUAGGGUCUUUGUGUUUUUCCAUGAAAAUUAUCAACUGGAACGUUAGGGGUUUAGGCUCAAGGAAUAAGCGUAGGAUGGUUAAAGAUUUCCUUAGGUCAGCGAAUCCGGAUGUUGUGAUGAUUCAGGAAACAAAAAAGGAGAAAUGUGACAGAAGGUUUGUGGGUGGUGUUUGGAUGGUCAGAAAUAAGGAUUGGGUUGCUCUUCCGGCGUCUAGGGCAUCAGGUGGGAUUUUGAUCAUUUGGGAUUCAAAAAAUCUGCGUAGUGAGGAGGUGGUAAUAGGAUCUUUCUCGGUCUCAGUCAAGUUCGCUUUGGACGGUUGUGGACCUCUUUAGAUUUCCGCUGUUUAUGGUCCAAACAGUCUCUCACUUAGGAAGGAUUUUUGGGUGGAACUUUUUGACAUAUAUGGACUAACUUAUCCGUUAUGGUGUGUGGGCGGUGAUUUUAAUGUCAUAAGGAGAAGCUCAGAAAAAUUGGGGGGUUCUAGUCUAACAUCAAGCAUGAGGGACUUUGAUAGUUUUAUUAGAGAAUGUGAAUUGCUUGACCCACUUCUUCGGAACGCUUCAUUCACUUGGUCAAAUUUGCAAGAGUCUCCCGUGUGUAAGAGACUAGACCGUUUUCUCUACUCAAAUGAGUGGGGGCUGCUCUUUCCCCAAGGCCUUCAAGAAGCCCUAAUUAGAAGGACCUCGGAUCACUGGCCAAUUGUUAUGGAUACCAACCUGUUCAUGUGGGGCCCAACACCUUUUAGGUUUGAGAAUAUGUGGUUACAACAUCCUAAUUUCAAGGAGAACUUUAGAAAUUGGUGGAGUGGUUUUCAAGGUAACGGAUGGGAAGGCCAUAAGUUCAUGAGGAGACUACAAUAUGUUAAAGCCAAAUUGAAGGAGUGGAAUAAGUUUUCUUUUGGAGAGCUUAAUGAAAAGAAAAAAAGUAUCCUCAAUGAUUUAACUAACUUUGAUGCCAUUGAGCAGGUAGGGGGUCUCACUUCUGAAUUGUUAAGUCAAAGAGCCUCAAGAAAAUGGGAGUUAGAGGAAUUAAUUUUGAGGGAGGAAAUCCAUUGAAGAGAAAAAGGUAGGGUGAAAUGGGUUAAGGAAGGGGAUUGCAACUCUAAGUUUUAUCAUAAAGUGGCUAAUGGCAGGCGAAAUAGGAAAUAUAUCAAGGAGUUGGAGAAUAAGAGGGGCUUAGUGUUGAAGAAUGCCGAAAGUAUCACAGAGGAGAUCUUAUUUUAGUUUGAAAAGCUUUACACGAACCCUACAGGAGAGUCUUGGGGUGUUGAAGGAUUAGAUUGGUCCCCUAUUUCAGAAGAGAGCGUGUUAAAGUUGGAUUCCCCUUUCACUGAAGAAGAGAUUUAUAAGGCCAUUUUUCAGCUGGAUAGGGACAAGGCUCCGGGGCCUGAUGACUUUACUAUUGCAGUAUUCCAAGACUGUUGGGAUGUGAUUAAGGAGGAUUUGGUGAGAGUGUUCACAGAAUUUCAUAGGAGUGGAAUUAUCAAUCAAAGCACUAAUGCCUCUUUCAUUGUUCUAUUACCCAAAAAGAGUUUGACAAAGAAAAUAUCAUAUUUUAGACCCAUUAGUUUGAUCACUAGUCUCUACAAGNNNNNNNNNNNNNNNNNNNNNNNNNNNNNNNNNNNNNNNNNNNNNNNNNNNNNNNNNNNNNNNNNNNNNNNNNNNNNNNNNNNNNNNNNNNNNNNNNNNNGUUUUUCACUUUCCAUGCCACUUUCCCUUCAGUCAGGAAAUUGGUUAAUUUUAUCAGGAAGAAAACUGAGUCAUUUCUGUUAAAUAAAAACAUCAAGGACUUUCCCUUCAGUUUUCCUUCUUUCCUUCUUCUCCUGUUUUUGUGUUUUAAUUUUAUCUGGAAGAAGACUAAUUCGUUUUUAUUAAAUACGACGGUAUACAGAAUCUGAUUGAAAAAACAAGAAGCAAAACUCCACAAAUAGGAGCAACACAAGCUGUGCUUUUGAGGAAGAGACUAAACAAAAAAAGGGGGGGGGGGAAGAAUCCAAGACCAAUCCAAAGAUUUACUAAUUAUAAGCUUUACCCAUAGGAAGUCUAAUGUCAGGUUGCAUAAGGAGGAGUCCAAUCUGUUGUUAGGUAGUCAGGGGGAUACUGAGGUAUCCCCAUCGGGUGAUCUCCUUAUUGAUGGAGCAUCCCCUCCUUUUGGACCCAAGGCGCGCCCAGUGCGCCGAUCAGGGUGGAAGACAUUGUUGGGUGGGGAGUUUGGCUGGGGCGGCACAUCUGUUAAAAGAUAACGCAGGUAUCCUAAGAUGAGCUCAACGUGGCACCUUGGCUUGGCUCGCGGGCGGGCACAAAGCAGGGCUCUGUUCCCCAGGAAAAUGGCUAAAGUGCGAGAGGUUUUAUGCUCUCUGGACAUUAAGGUGUAUUCCAGGAAGAAGAACAGAGGCCCCACAGGUAAUUGAGACCUGGUGGUUUUGGCUUGGAAGGUUAGGGUCUUUGUGUUUUUCCAUGAAAAUUAUCAACUGGAACGUUAGGGGUUUAGGCUCAAGGAAUAAGCGUAGGAUGGUUAAAGAUUUCCUUAGGUCAACGAAUCCGGAUGUUGUGAUGAUUCAGGAAACAAAAAAGGAGAAAUGUGACAGAAGGUUUGUGGGUGGUGUUUGGAUGGUCAGAAAUAAGGAUUGGGUUGCUCUUCCGGCGUCUAGGGCAUCAGGUGGGAUUUUGAUCAUUUGGGAUUCAAAAAAUCUGCGUAGUGAGGAGGUGGUAAUAGGAUCUUUCUCGGUCUCAGUCAAGUUCGCUUUGGACGGGUGUGGACCUCUUUAGAUUUCCG